AACACUGACUUGAGCGUCGGAGUGACUUUUGCAGGUACUCACCCCCUUUCCAUCGUUCGAUUCCGGGAACGUAAUCCGGAGUUCUCUUUCGACUAAGGAAGCGUGCGGACUUCAGUCAAGAACCUGUGGAGGAAGAGAUGUUUUGGCUGAGGGAAGGCGAUUGGAACACUAAGUUUUUUCAUCUUUCUACUGUCAUCAGAAGGAGAAGGAAUAAAUUGGAAGGGUUGAAUAAUGAUGAUGGAGUGUGGGUGACUGAGAAAAAUGGUAUGAAGCAGAUUGUUUGUGAUUAUUUUCAAGGGUUGUUUAAUGUUUCUGUUUCAGCUGGUGAGUAUUCUUCGCUUCCUCAAUUGUUUCCUCAACUUGGUUGUGAUGAUUUAGCUGGUUUAAGUGGCACUGUCACUGAAUUAGAAAUUAAACAUAGUUUGUUUGCUAUUGGAGGUCUUAAAACCCCUGGGCCAGUUGGUUUCCCUGCUAUUUUUUAGCAGAAUUUUUGGGAUCUUUGUUCUAGUGAUAUCAUCUCAGUUGUUAAGGAUUGUUUUAUAACUGCUUCUCUUCCUGAGCAUCUCAAUGAUACCUUGAUUGCUUUGGUUCCUAAGGUUGAGAGGCCUACUUCUAUGCCUUAAUUAAGGCUUAUCAGUCUGUGUAACACUCUUUACAAAGUGGUUUCUAAGAUCCUUGUUGCAAGACUUAGACCUCUUAUGUCUAAGCUUGUUAGUCCCACUCAAGUGAGUUUUGUGCCAGGCAGAUAUAUUACUGAUAAUAUUGUUGUGGCUCAGGAAAUGUUGCAUAAAUUUAAAAUUUCGAAAGGGAAAAAAGGGUUUGUUGCUUGGAAAAUUGAUCUAUCCAAGGCUUAUGAUCGUCUGAGCUGGAAUUUUAUUAGGGAAGUGUUUUGGGAAGUUGGCAUUAGAGGCAGGAUUCUUGAGCUUCUUAUGAUUUGUAUUAGUUCUGUCCAGUAUAAAGCUGUUCUGAAUGGUGAGUUAACGGAGGCAUUUGUUCCUAAAUGUGGGAUUAGGCAGGGUGAUCCUCUUUCCCCUUAUAUUUUUGUCUUGUGCAUGGAGAAACUUUCUCAUCUUAUUCAGCAAAGAGUUCAGGAUAAAAUCUGGAAGCUUGUUCAGAUUUAUCAAGAGGGUCCUAUGGUGUCGCAUUUAUUCUUUGCCGAUGAUAUGAUCCUUUUUGGUUAAGCUUCUGUUACUCAAGUUAAGGUUAUGAAGCAGUGCUUAGAUGACUUUUGUAAUCUCUCUGGUCAAAGGGUUAGUUUUGAGAAAUCUGUGAUUUGUGUUUCUCCAAAUACUUGCUAUGAUUUAGGUCGCCAAGUGGCUUCUAUUAGUGGUUCUCCUCUUAUUGAUUGUCUUGGUAAAUACCUUGGAGUUCCUUUGAUUCAUAAAAGAGUUACUAAGGCUACUUAUUUUGAGAUCGUUGAUAAGGUUCAAAGAAGGUUGUUUGCGUGGAAGAGUCAUACUCUUUCUAUGGCUGGUAGGAUCACUUUGAUGCAGUAAGUUACCUCUGCCAUUCCCAUUUAUUCAAUGCAAACUGCUCAAUUUCCUGUCUCUAUUUGUGAUAAACUUGAUCAGUUAAAUAUGAAUUUUCUUUGGGGCCAUACUGCAAAUAAGAAUAAGGUUCAUCUUGUUAAUUGGGAUACUUUUUGUCAAGCUAAGUCUGUUGGUGGUUUGGGAAUCAAGAAAACUGCCUGGAUGAAUCAAGCUUUAUUGGCUAAGACUGGUUGGAGAUUGCUUCAGAAUGAUCAAGGCCUUUGGUCUCAGGUUUUGAAUGCUAAGUAUUUGAGGCAGUAUGAUCUUCUUGCUGCUAAGGAUCUUCAUUUAAGUUGCAGUUCUAGUGUUUGGAGGGGUGUUUUAUAUGGUGCUAAGCUAAGCUUCUCCCUCAUGGUCUUCAAUGGAGGGUAGGUUCUGGUGAUAAUAUUUUAUUUUGGACUGAUUCUUGGUUAAGCUGUGGUCCUUUGCAGAGUCAUGCUCUAAUUGAUUUAUCUGAGGAAAUGCUCCAACUUAACGUAAGUGAUUUUUUGGAAGAUGGUUGUUGGGAUAUGAAUUGUUUGCAGGAAUGUUUGCCUGAUGAGAUUGUCCAGAUGAUUUUAAGCAUUCAUUCUGGUUUUUUUGGGAGUGGUCUGGAUAAAAGAAUUUGGAAGUGCACUCCAAAUGGUGAUUUCUCCAUUAAGUUAGUUUAUAAUACCAUUUUUCUUGAAGGGAAUGUUCUGUCGUGGCAGCGGGCUUUUCUUUGGAAGCUUAAAAUUCCUCCUAAGAUUAAAACCUUUCUUUGGCUGUUGUGCCAUAAGAAGUUGCUUACCAUUUAUCAAAGGCAGAAAAGGGGCCUUACUUCCUGUGCUCCUUGUCCCAGGUGCAUUUAUCCUAUAGAAUCUAUUGAGCAUUUAGUUAUAGGUUGUUGUUGCUCUAUGGAUAUUUGAAGUGGCUUAGGGUUUAGUGAUAAGUUGGUUAACUGCCAUGUGGGUGAUUUUGAUGUUUGGCUUUUGCACAAUCUGCAGUCUAAACAAGUUGUUUGUGAUAAUUUGCCUUGGUCCUUAGUUUUUGCUGUUUGUCUCUGUUUCAUCUGGAAGUGGCGCUGUAAAGUUGUUUUUGAGGCUGGGUUUGUUAUGCCUUCUGAGCCU
This is a non-coding RNA of Prunus avium (sweet cherry), 2617 nucleotides long. The record is from RefSeq and is a predicted model, not a curated record. Lineage: Eukaryota; Viridiplantae; Streptophyta; Magnoliopsida; Rosales; Rosaceae.